UAGCUCAGCAGGCAGAGCAACUGACUUGUAAUCAGUAGGUCACCAGUUCGAUUCCGGU
This 58-nucleotide transfer RNA is filed under the name Shigella flexneri. RNAcentral's name for it is "tRNA-Thr". It matches the Rfam family "tRNA", at positions 8 to 63 of the family's 71-position model. Rfam says of the family: Transfer RNA (tRNA) molecules are approximately 80 nucleotides in length. Their secondary structure includes four short double-helical elements and three loops (D, anti-codon, and T loops). Further hydrogen bonds mediate the characteristic L-shaped molecular structure. tRNAs have two regions of fundamental functional importance: the anti-codon, which is responsible for specific mRNA codon recognition, and the 3' end, to which the tRNAs corresponding amino acid is attached (by aminoacyl-tRNA synthetases). tRNAs cope with the degeneracy of the genetic code in two manners: having more than one tRNA (with a specific anti-codon) for a particular amino acid; and 'wobble' base-pairing, i.e. permitting non-standard base-pairing at the 3rd anti-codon position. RNAcentral also lists the same sequence under 1 other name. The record is from RNAcentral. Lineage: Bacteria; Pseudomonadati; Pseudomonadota; Gammaproteobacteria; Enterobacterales; Enterobacteriaceae.